CUAAAAACUUCAUGAGGUCUAGAGGGUCCACAGUGGGUGUUGAAGCAAUGUGAUUUCUGUGCAGUCCUCUGAAUGUCAACAUGAAAAAAUUCAAUGAGGCUCAGGUAAGUGGCAGUAACAACUAUAGGUCUCUUAAGGAACCCUAAAGCUUGGUCAUUUAAUUAGUGACAUGCAUGAAUGGAUGACCAAG
Ribosomal RNA from Nomascus leucogenys (northern white-cheeked gibbon), 190 nucleotides. It matches the Rfam family "Eukaryotic large subunit ribosomal RNA", at positions 2134 to 2331 of the family's 3401-position model. The record is from Rfam. NCBI's taxonomy places the organism in Eukaryota, Metazoa, Chordata, Mammalia, Primates, Hylobatidae.